This 427-nucleotide ribosomal RNA is filed under the name uncultured bacterium. RNAcentral's name for it is "bacterial SSU rRNA". It matches the Rfam family "Bacterial small subunit ribosomal RNA", at positions 354 to 796 of the family's 1533-position model. The record is from RNAcentral.
GUGAGGGAUAUUGGUCAAUGGGCGAAAGCCUGAACCAGCGACGCCGCGUGGGUGAUGAAGGUCUUCGGAUCGUAAAACCCUUUUCUGCGUGACGAGACAAGGACGGUAGCGCAGGAAGAAGUCUCGGCUAACUACGUGCCAGCAGCCGCGGUAAAACGUAGGAGACAAGCGUUAUCCGGAGUUACUGGGCGUAAAGGGCGUGCAGGCGGCUUACUCAGUCUGGUGUGAAAGCGCUCGGCUAAACCGGGCGAGGCCACUGGAUACUGGUAGGCUGGAGGACGGUAGAGGCGAGUGGAAUUCCGGGUGUAGUGGUGAAAUGCGUAGAGAUCCGGAGGAACACCAGUGGCGAAGGCGACUCGCUGGGCCGUACCUGACGCUGAGACGCGACAGCAUGGGGAGCGAACGGGAUUAGAUACCCUAGUAGUCC